Molecule: small RNA, 558 nt
Filed under: Pongo abelii (Sumatran orangutan)
Lineage: Eukaryota; Metazoa; Chordata; Mammalia; Primates; Hominidae
Description: processed transcript
Source: RNAcentral
AAGCUUUCAGAGUUCACUGGCCGGGUGUGGUGACUCAUCCCUGUAAUUCCAACUUGGGGGCUGAGGCAGAAGGAUCCCUUGAAGCCAGGAGUUUGAGACCCACCUGGGCAACAUAGACCUCAUUUCUAAAAAUACGUAUGGUUUGUGCUUGUCGGAAUCAGAAACAGUCAACAAAGAGCGAGCGAACAGUUACAAAAAUCCCCGCACUCAGGACCUCACCGCCAAGCUUCGGAAAGCUGUGGAGAAGGGAGAGGAGGACACCUUUUCUGACCUUAUCUGGAGCAACCCCCGGUAUCUGAUCGGCUCAGGAGACAACCCCACUAUCGUGCAGGAAGGGUGCAGGUACAACGUGAUGCAUGUUGCUGCCAAAGAGAACCAGGCUUCCAUCUGCCAGCUGACUCUGGACGUCCUGGAGAACCCCGACUUCAUGAGGCUGAUGUACCCUGAUGACGACGAGGCCAUGCUGCAGAAGCGCAUCCGCUACGUGGUUGACCUGUACCUAAACACCCCCGACAAGAUGGGCUAUGACACACCGUUGCAUUUUGCUUGUAAGUUUGG